RNAcentral lists this ribosomal RNA (475 nucleotides) under uncultured bacterium. RNAcentral describes it as "partial 16S ribosomal RNA". It matches the Rfam family "Bacterial small subunit ribosomal RNA", at positions 28 to 523 of the family's 1533-position model. The record is from RNAcentral.
GGUGAACGCUGGCGGCGUGCUUAAGACAUGCAAGUCGAACGCAGUCUUCGGACUGAGUGGCGCACGGGUGAGUAACACGUAACUGACCUACCCCCAAGUCGCGGAUAACUGGCCGAAAGGUCAGCUAAUACGUGAUGUGAUGUCCCCUUUCUGGGGGGCCAUUAAAGGUUUACUGCUUGGGGAUGGGGUUGCGUUCCAUCAGCUAGCUGGCGGGGUAAAGGCCCACCAAGGCAACGACGGAUAGCCGGCCUGAGAGGGUGGCCGGCCACAGGGGCACUGAGACACGGGUCCCACUCCUACGGGAGGCAGCAGUUAGGAAUCUUCCACAAUGGGCGAAAGCCUGAUGGAGCGACGCCGCGUGAGGGAUGAGGGUUCUCGGAUCGUAAACCUCUGAAUCAGGGGCGAAAGACGCGUAAGCGGGAUGACGGUACCUGAGUAAUAGCACCGGCUAACUCCGUGCCAGCCGCCGCGGUAA